CUAAAAGGGAGCAGAAGUGAAGAACUGCGUCUUGCAGCUCCCCACCGCGGUGCGUGUUUCGCCCCAGGGCCGCUUCCCGCCGCCGGAGCGAAGGGUUAAGCGGGAGGAAUGCGAGCGGCCGCGCAAAAACCGCCUGGAAAAGCACGUUCCCCGGCCGAGCAGAGCUCUGACCUCGCAGGAGAGCUUCCCUGGGGAGCCRGCGCGCGUGGGCAGCCGAGGGACGGAGCCCGGAAGAGUUAAAACACGACGGUUUAAAAGCUGAAACUCAGCGAUUCCUUUUUGGCGUUAGGGCAGUACCCUGGGGUGCACACAUUAGCAAAUUCUGGACUAAAACCUUAAUUUUUCUGUAAAAAAAGCUAUCCUGUGAGCCCAGGGCACCCCAGUGUCCAUCAUUUCCCCCUCAUUUUGCUUAUGAUUUUAGAGACUGAACGUAGAUGUGGAUUUGGGUUGCGUUUCUGGCUGCGAAAAAGCAAUUGCUCUUUAAUUUGGUUUUCCUCUUAGCUUUUAUCCUUGCUCGCUUUGACCAUCCCACGCUGGAGGACAAACCAUCAUCCAACGCGCGGCCAAAAAAGGCAACAAUAAGCAAUGGCUUUUCCAUCUCCGGCACCACACUCCUUUUUAAAUCAAAUUUGUCGAAAAGCCACAUCAUUUAAAAUCGAAUUCCUCUUUCGCGUGAUGCGGGCUGGAACUUUGUGCCUUUUUUUCCUUUGAAGCGCCCCGAAACGUUUUGCUCCCGGAAAAACCCCAGUCGCUGAGCUUUUACAUCCUGCUCAGCCAAAYCUGUAGCGCCGGGUGAGUCCGGUCCCGGGGGCAGAUUUUGGGGAGAAACGCGGCAAAACGCCGUUGCUUUACGCCAGGGAUGCCGGGCAGCGUACAGACACCGCUGAGCCGCCCCUCGCACGCGGAUGCAGAACGUCAUUUCCCAGGUUUAAUGGGAGGAAGCYGCCUGAAGGGGAAUAUUAAAAAAGAAAAAAAGGAAGAAAACAACAAAACGGGGCCGGUAAAUGGGACUGGGCUGCUGAUAAUACCGCGGGGGCGGAAGUUGCCGCACGCGGAUGGCGAGAAGAUGGAUGAAUACAUCACGCCCUGGGYGUGGGAAGGAAGCGGAUUCAUCCAUCCCCCCCCGCGCUGCCCCAGACGCAGAUUGGGGCCGCGUGGGAAGCGUUUCGGCUCGGCCGGCGAAGGGAUGUUCAUCGCCCUGCUCCUGUUGCCCCCCCGGAGAUGCUGCUGCAACGACGCCCGAGACCGGCCCCGAACCGYGACGUUUCCCAGCGCUUCGUGCGCCGGAUGCGGGAGCAGAAAAAGAUGAAGACGGCACCGCAUGGGACUGCAGCAAGGCUAAUGAACCCCGGACAUCCGUAGUGACACCUGGAUACGGAGCGCAGCGCUCGGCCUCGCAGCCUUUCCCGCGGCCCCGUCCUCGGCAUGAAGCACGGGAAAAGCAGCAGGAGCAACGGCUGAAACGCGGCUUUGCUUAAUUCAGCGAGUUUAACGGCUUUUUUUACCCCACCUUGUUCAACGGCAGCUCUCGCAAUGGCGAACGCAAUAAUUUGAUGAAAAUCUGAAACUUUGGUCGCCAGGAAAUCAGAAUUUUGUUAUUUGGGUGUCAUCUCGCUGCUGCUGAGCGUCUCCCGCCGCCGGUUACGACGUUCCUCCUCGUCCGGCGAGGAAAAACGGGCAGCGACCGCUUUUCCCAGCCGGAGCGAAGCCGCGUCGGCCCCACGGGACGGUGUCACCCGGGGUGUCACCCGCGCCGGCGGUCGCCGGAGAGGGUUUUUGCAGGGCGCUUGUGCGGCCGCUGCUGCAGCUGCUGGGAGAGGCUUUCCGGGAAGCGCCGCRGCAGAGACCAGCCAGGGCAGCCCCAGCGCCWGCCGCCAGCCCAGGCGGUCUGCGGGAACGCGGCGCGGGGAAGAAGCAGAAUUGGGGUGGCCUGGUAAUAAUCAUACGUGAUUAAACGCUUGCAAUACCCACGCUCGGGGCGUUCACGCGCCGCGGUAGUGACGGGAGCGUAAGGAUCUGCUCCCCCCGCCCCGGCGCUGCCUCCGGGGAGGUUUGCAGCUCUCUUUGCAAAUCCUCAAAUUAACGCAAUUAAACUCUGCGUCUCGGAGAGGUUAAACAAGCUGGAAGGUCCUCCGCGGACGGCGGCGCUGAUGGUGCUCGGCUCGGCCCUCCCUGGCGCCCGGCACCGUUUCCGCGGGGUUUUUCCCCGCUCUGCGGCGUCGACCGCAGCGGAUGGGGACGAGCGUUUCGCCCGGUUUGGAGGACGGAGCAGAGCCGCGCUGAGGCCUGGCUGCGCCUUUAGCAUUUUAGAUUAGGGAAAGGGGCGACGGUGGGUUAGAAAAUAAACCAGCACGACGGAU
RNAcentral lists this long non-coding RNA (2360 nucleotides) under Dromaius novaehollandiae (emu). RNAcentral's name for it is "lncRNA (ENSDNVG00000006150.1)". Lineage: Eukaryota; Metazoa; Chordata; Aves; Casuariiformes; Dromaiidae. The record is from RNAcentral.